This 458-nucleotide ribosomal RNA is filed under the name uncultured bacterium. RNAcentral describes it as "partial 16S ribosomal RNA". It matches the Rfam family "Bacterial small subunit ribosomal RNA", at positions 338 to 795 of the family's 1533-position model. The record is from RNAcentral.
CCUACGGGUGGCAGCAGUGAGGAAUAUUGGUCAAUGGACGAGAGUCUGAACCAGCCAAGUAGCGUGAAGGAUGACUGCCCUAUGGGUUGUAAACUUCUUUUAUAUGGGAAUAAAAUGUUCCACGUGUGGGGUUUUGUAUGUACCAUAUGAAUAAGGAUCGGCUAACUCCGCCAGCAGCCUCGGUAAUACGGAGGAUCCGAGCGUGCUCCGGAUUUAUUGGGUUUAAAGGGAGCGUAGGUGGAUUGUUAAGUCAGUUGUGAAAGUUUGCGGCUCAACCGUAAAAUUGCAGUUGAAACUGGCAGUCUUGAGUACAGUAGAGGUGGGCGGAAUUCGUGGUGUAGCGGUGAAAUGCUUAGAUAUAACGAAGAACUCCGAUUGCGAAGGCAGCUCACUGGACUGCAACUGACACUGAGGCUCGAAAGUGUGGGUAUCAAACAGGAUUAGAUACCCCUGUAGUC